This 253-nucleotide ribosomal RNA is filed under the name uncultured bacterium. Its description in RNAcentral is "partial 16S ribosomal RNA". It matches the Rfam family "Bacterial small subunit ribosomal RNA", at positions 524 to 776 of the family's 1533-position model. The record is from RNAcentral.
UACGGAGGGUGCAAGCAUUAAUCGGAAUUAUUGGGCGUAAAGGGCGCGUAGGCGGCGAUAUCAGUCAGAUGUGAAAUCCCAGGGCUCACCCCUGGAACUGCAUUUGAUACAGUAUGGCUCGAGGUAAGGCGGAGAAAACGGAAUUCCACAAGUAGCGGUGAAAUGCGUAGAGAUGUGGAGGAACACCUGUGGCGAAAGCGGUUUUCUAGCUUAGACCUGACGCUGAGGCGCGAAAGCAAGGGGAGCAAACAGG